This 451-nucleotide ribosomal RNA is filed under the name uncultured bacterium. RNAcentral's name for it is "bacterial SSU rRNA". It matches the Rfam family "Bacterial small subunit ribosomal RNA", at positions 335 to 798 of the family's 1533-position model. The record is from RNAcentral.
ACUCCUACGGGAGGCAGCAGUGGGGAAUAUUGCACAAUGGGCGGAAGCCUGAUGCAGCAACGCCGCGUGAGGGAUGACGGCCUUCGGGUUGUAAACCUCUUUUAGCAAGGAAGAAGCGAAAGUGACGGUACUUGCAGAAAAAGCGCCGGCUAAACUACGUGCCAGCAGCCGCGGUAAUACGUAGGCGCAAGCGUUAUCCGGAAUUAUUGGGCGUAAAGAGCUCGUAGGCGGUUUGUCGCGUCUGCUGUGAAAACCGGAGGCUCAACCUCCGGCCUGCAGUGGGUACGGGCAGACUAGAGUGCGGUAGGGGAGAUUGGAAUUCCUGGUGUAGCGGUGGAAUGCGCAGAUAUCAGGAGGAACACCGAUGGCGAAGGCAGAUCUCUGGGCCGUAACUGACGCUGAGGAGCGAAAGGGUGGGGAGCAAAACAGGCUUAGAUACCCUGGUAGCUAC